Molecule: ribosomal RNA, 216 nt
Filed under: Triticum aestivum (bread wheat)
Lineage: Eukaryota; Viridiplantae; Streptophyta; Magnoliopsida; Poales; Poaceae
Description: partial small subunit ribosomal RNA
Source: RNAcentral
AUGAACAUCUUGGCCUGGAACUGUCGAGGAUUGGGGUUGGACUCGACGGUGGGCGAACUACGGGACCUGAUACGGUCAUACAACCCAGCGGUGGUAUUCCUAAGUGAAACAAAAAAGAAAGACAGGGCGAUGGAGAAAAUCAAAUGGAGUUUGGUGUUCAGAUCGGGGAUGGCGGUAAAUUGUAAUGGGAAGAGUGGUGGUUUGGCUCUUUGGUGG